CUUGUACACACCGCCCGUCACAUCACGAAAGUAGGUUGUACUAGAAGUAGGAGGGCUAACCCGCAAGGGGGGCAUCUUACCACGGUAUGAUUUAUGAUUGGGGUG
This 105-nucleotide ribosomal RNA is filed under the name uncultured bacterium. RNAcentral's name for it is "partial 16S ribosomal RNA". It matches the Rfam family "Bacterial small subunit ribosomal RNA", at positions 1380 to 1482 of the family's 1533-position model. The record is from RNAcentral.